This 573-nucleotide long non-coding RNA is filed under the name Pan troglodytes (chimpanzee). RNAcentral describes it as "long non-coding RNA NONPTRT010467". Lineage: Eukaryota; Metazoa; Chordata; Mammalia; Primates; Hominidae. The record is from RNAcentral.
CAAGUCCACCCCCACCUCUGCUUGUAGAAAUAAAAAGUGCAGAUUUAUGAGAGGGGAUGGGUCUACCUGGAGUGACUUGAGGAAUACCCAGAAGACCCCGUCCACCUCCUCCUGCUUAGAAUAUGCCUUUUGCUAGCCUGCUGUGAUGCCUGGAAUUUCAUCCUUCACCCAUGUGCUGCAGGACAAGAGGAGGGCCAGAAAGCUCUGCCCAUGCCUGGGGAGCAUGCUGGAUCUCCCUUCCAGCUACAGAAGAGGUCAGCACCCUGCCCCCGCUGGCCGUCUUGCUCGAACCUCUGAGAGACCUCUUGGCAACAUGCUGUCCCUCCUAAUUGUCUUCCUCGGUCACCACUGCAGACCAAGGCUUCCAGGUCUAUGGUUUCUUAGACAUGCGUGGAUUCUCACAGCCACCACCACAGACAGUACAAGCAACAGUUCUAAUACUCCAGAGAACGCCCUCAUCUCUCCUCACCCCUGCCUUCUGGCAAGCAAUGAGCUGUUCUCUGUUCCUGUAUUUUUGCCUUUUCUAGAAUGCCAUAUAAAUGGAAUUAUAUAGAAUGUGCCCUUUUGGUACUG